CCUACGGGUGGCAGCAGUAGGGAAUAUUGCUCAAUGGGGGAAACCCUGAAGCAGCAACGCCGCGUGGAGGAUGAAGGUUUUCGGAUUGUAAAAUCCUUUUGUUAGAGAAGAUAAUUACGGUAUCUAACGCAUACGCACCGGCUAACUCCGUGCCAGCAGCCGCGGUACUACGGAAGGUGCAAGCGUUAAUCGGAAUUACUGGGCGUAAAGAGCGCGUAGGCGGGAUAGAAAGUCAGAUGUGAAAUCCUAUGGCUUAACCAUAGAACUGCAUUUGAAACUGUUAUUCUAGAGUAUGGGAGAGGUAGGUGGAAUGCUUGGUGUAGGGGUAAAAUCCGUAGAGAUCAAGAAGAAUACUCAUUGCGAAGGCGACCUGCUAGAACAUAACUGACGCUGAUGCGCGAAAGCGUGGGGAGCAAACAGGAUUAGAUACCCUUGUAGUC
RNAcentral lists this ribosomal RNA (440 nucleotides) under uncultured bacterium. RNAcentral's name for it is "partial 16S ribosomal RNA". It matches the Rfam family "Bacterial small subunit ribosomal RNA", at positions 338 to 795 of the family's 1533-position model. The record is from RNAcentral.